AUAUCGCACAUAGCUGAUGCACAUGGUGGCUUUUCCUCCCAGUUCCACCGCAUUAGCUGUUCCCCUCUGGAGG
This 73-nucleotide small RNA is filed under the name Rhizobium phaseoli. RNAcentral's name for it is "miscellaneous other RNA". The stretch from base 12 to 73 matches the Rfam family "Alphaproteobacterial ar15", at positions 1 to 62 of the family's 112-position model. The record is from RNAcentral. Lineage: Bacteria; Pseudomonadati; Pseudomonadota; Alphaproteobacteria; Hyphomicrobiales; Rhizobiaceae. RNAcentral also lists the same sequence under 22 other names.